This is a non-coding RNA of Heterocephalus glaber (naked mole-rat), 2141 nucleotides long. The record is from RefSeq and is a predicted model, not a curated record. Lineage: Eukaryota; Metazoa; Chordata; Mammalia; Rodentia; Bathyergidae.
CAAAAAACAAGCCAGUGUCCACCCCAGGAUCCCAGGAGCAGCUUAGAGUCUUGAAGUCCUGAGUUUCACAAGAAAAGUCCUUGGGCUCCUCAAGCACUUCUGCCCAUAUGGAGAAAAAAGGCACAGAGCUUGCAGAAAGCCCAGGGGAUGUCAGAAAGUCAGACUUUGAGAACUGGCCAAACUCAGCAGCCGGGAGUCGAGUGAUCCAAAUACAAACACCUCAGAGACACCAGUCACUGCCUCUCCCAGGGCCACACUAAAAGGCCUCCUGCUUUCUGCAGCUAGGAGAUGGAAAUGGAGACCGCAAACAUCUUACACUUCCCAGGGGAAAUUGAGUCUUUCACAGGGGAAACCAAGGGCAAGUGAACACAGCGAUCUGAGACAGGAACUGGAAACCGCCCUCAAUAGGAGUGAAGGUGUCCUGCCACACGUGCCCCACCAGGGACUCCUUGUGAACACGAGCCUACUGGUGGGAUAGAAUCUUUGGUCUCUCCUCAAAUUCAGACCUGAGAGGGUCAGAUAAGGGUCUCUCAUGGAACAGCCAUGCUGUGGACAUGUGGUCACCGCUGGCCUGGGGAGGCUGCACUAGUCAUCUUGCACCUCUGACCACGGGAGUGAAGAAUGCUAGUGCUCUGCCUCUGUCACCUUAAGUCACACAGCAAAGCUCUCUGUGCCUUGGUUUUCUCCUCUGUUGCAGGCAAACUCUACUCUUAAGGAUCUUGAGCCCUGGUAAGUGACUGAACUAACUUCCACAACUGCUUUCCUUUGCAAAGAAGCUAUCCCAUGCUUCUAAUAUGAAAACAGAUACAAUAAAGGGAUCCAUGUUGCCAAUGGAAAACACUACUUUCUCUAACAUCAAAACAGAUAUGAUUUGCCUGUUAGAAAAAUAUGGAAUAGGAUCCAGCUGAUCUAUGGUUGAUGUUGGCUUUGCUAAUGGUGUUAAGUACUAGUUUUGCAAAAUUCCUCCAGCAGCCCCUUGUCCCAAUUUUUUUUUUCCUGGCCAUUCUUAGCCUUAAUAAGAUCUUUUCUUAGGGUUUCCUCGGCCCAAAUUUCUCACCAGUUUAUCCAUCAAAAAUAGAAAAAUUGGCCUGCUUAACAUGAGGUGGGAUGGCGGAAAGAUGAAAGUGCUGAUGGUAGGAAGGGAACAGCGACACAUGAGCGUUGCUAUUUUAUAAUCAGGAUGCUGAACAGUUCUCAUUGUGGGAAACUGUCUGUGAGCAGCUGGAUUAUAGACCUCGUAUGAAUCCUAAGUGGAAUCAAAAUUUUAUUUCCUACACGCCACUUUGCUCAGAUUUGAAAUGCACAGACAGGCAACUGAAGAUUUAGCAUUGGUAACCUUUUGGCUUUACUAAAGAGGUAACUUGCUAGAUCCCUCUGCCCAGGGGCUCCACUGCCCGAGAGAAGGCAGGUGUCCUAACGGAGUCCCUGAAACAGUCCUGUGCUCUCUUACCUGCAGAAGAAUUCUCAGGUCCCUUCAAUGAGAAACAUUCCAAUGUCCUUCACUUUCCUGUGACAAUGACUCACCCUUAUGUGUACGAAUUAUUCCCUAGACCAGCAAUGGUAGUGUAUAAAACCCAAGAUACCCCAGUGCACCAGAAGGGAAGUGUCACGAGACGCCACCAUGAAGCAAGAUGAGUGAAAAUUCACUCCAAAUCAUUCAAAUUGAAAAGGAUUGAUAUUAAAGAUUUUUAUAAUUGAAUUAUUUGGGCAGAAAACCCACCUGUGUGGAAACAAAAGAGCCCUAAGUUACUUUCCAACAGACCCAUGGAGAGCCUUUGCUGUCUAGAACAUAAAGUGCUGGGACUUACUCUGCCCUGCCUGUCAGCACAGUGGAAGUAAUGAAAAUGACAGGAACUUUGGCUGGCAAGAAAAAUGUUGCCAAAUUAUUAUAACAUAUUUAGAAAAAUCUCUGGUGGACAGAGAAGAAAUCGAGAAAAAGAAUGAGACAGCUGAUCUUCGUGGAUCUCAGGAAUUCAAUAUUCACAAACCCUCUUAGAGGACAGAGAAGAACUAAGAAAAUAGUCUGUUUUCUUACACAUUCCAUCAUUCCAAAGUGGUCAUAUUACAUUGUCCUGGAUAUUCCCUGAAGUUAAAAAAAAAAAGCAAACUUCUUUCAAAAAAGUGUUUUGAGCUUCUAAUGU